This 922-nucleotide non-coding RNA is filed under the name Duellmanohyla soralia (Copan brook frog). RNAcentral describes it as "partial 12S ribosomal RNA". It matches the Rfam family "Bacterial small subunit ribosomal RNA". Lineage: Eukaryota; Metazoa; Chordata; Amphibia; Anura; Hylidae. The record is from RNAcentral.
UGGUCCCGGUCUUAAAAUCAGUUCUUACUUAACUUAUACAUGCAAGUUUCCGCACCCCCGUGAGAACGCCCUUACCUCCUUCCAGGAACAAGGAGCUGGUAUCAGGCACAGAUUUUUAGCCCAAGACACCUAGUUCAGCCACACCCACAAGGGGAUCCAGCAGUAAUUAACAUUGAGCAUGAGCGACAGCUUGACUCAGUCAAAGUAAAUAGGGCCGGCUAAUCCGGUGCCAGCCGCCGCGGCUAUACCGUAAGGCCCAAAUUGAUUUUUUCGGCGUAAAGCGUGGUUAAAGUUACCCCCACAAUUAUAGUUGCACCAGGAUUAAGCCGUUACACGCUUGUGCCUGAGAAGAACAAAAACGAAAGUUACUAUAUGCACUACCACUUGAACCCACGACAGCUGGGGGACAAACUGGGAUUAGAUACCCCACUAUGCCCAGCCGUAAACUUUUACUUACAUCCGUAUCGCCAGGGAACAACUAGCUAAGCUUAAAACCCAAAGGACUUGACGGUACCCCACAUCCACCUAGAGGAGCCUGUCCUAUAAUCGAUAACCCCCGCUAAACCUCACCAUUUCUAGCCCAGCAGCCUGUAUACCUCCGUCGUCAGCUUACCUCGUGAGUGAUCCAUAGUGCGCUUAAUGUCAUUACGUCAGGACGUCAGGUCAAGGUGCAGUAAAUGAAAUGGGAAGAGAUGGGCUACACUCUCUAACAUAGAGGAUACGAAAACCUAUAUGAAAUUCAGUCGGAAGGCGGAUUUAGAAGUAAAGGGGGAUCAUGGAGCCCCCUUUAAUACGGCACUGGGGUAUGUACAUACCGCCCGUCAUCCUCUUCAUAAGCCUAAAGACAGUAUUUAACACAAGACAGCUUUCUAGAAGAGGCAAGUCGUAACAUGGUAAGUGUACCGGAAGGUGCACUUGGAAA